CUCCAGACUCCUACGGGAGGCAGCAGUGAGGAAUAUUGGUCAAUGGUCGGGAGACUGAACCAGCCAAGCCGCGUGAGGGAUGAAGGUACAGAGUAUCGUAAACCUCUUUUGUCAGGGAACAAAGGCGGGGACGUGUCCCCGGAUGAGUGUACCUGAAGAAAAAGCAUCGGCUAACUCCGUGCCAGCAGCCGCGGUAAUACGUAGGGGGCAAGCGUUAUCCGGAUUUACUGGGUGUAAAGGGAGCGUAGACGGUGCGCCAAGUCUGGAGUGAAAUGCCGCAGCUUAACUGCGGAACUGCUUUGGAAACUGGCGAACUAGAGUGCGGGAGGGGUAAGCGGAAUUCCUAGUGUAGCGGUGAAAUGCGUAGAUAUUAGGAGGAACACCGGUGGCGAAGGCGGCUUACUGGACCGUAACUGACGUUGAGGCUCGAAAGCGUGGGGAGCAAACAGGAUUAGAUACCCCUGUAA
RNAcentral lists this ribosomal RNA (467 nucleotides) under uncultured bacterium. RNAcentral describes it as "bacterial SSU rRNA". It matches the Rfam family "Bacterial small subunit ribosomal RNA", at positions 329 to 793 of the family's 1533-position model. The record is from RNAcentral.